CCUACGGGAGGCAGCAGUGGGGAAUCUUGCACACUGGGGGUAACCCUGAUGCAGCGACGCCGCGUGAGCGAUGAAGUAUUUCGGUAUGUAAAGCUCUAUCAGCAGGGAAGAAAAUGACGGUACCUGACUAAGAAGCCGCGGAUAAAUACGUGCCAGCAGCCGCGGUAAUAAGUAGGAGGCAAGCGUUAUCCGGAUUUACUGGGUGGAAAGGGAGCGUAGGAGGUCCUGCAAGCCAGAUGUGAAAGCCCGGGGCUCAAACCCUGGAGUGCAUUUGGAACUGUAAGGCUAGAGUGUCGUAGAGGCAGGCGGAAUUCCUAGUGUAGCGGUGAAAUGCGUAGAUAUUAGGAGGAACACCAGUGGCGAAGGCGGCCUGCUGGACGAUGACUGACGUUGAGGCUCGAAAGCGUGGGGAGCAAACAGGAUUAGAUACCCGAGUAGUC
Molecule: ribosomal RNA, 440 nt
Filed under: uncultured bacterium
Lineage: Bacteria
Description: partial 16S ribosomal RNA
Rfam family: Bacterial small subunit ribosomal RNA
Source: RNAcentral